UUGAUUUCUUUCUCUCCCUUUGCAACCUUAUUCUCAUGAAAUUAUACACCAAGUCAUAUAAACCUCAUACAUUUAUGCAAUGAUACGCAUAUUAUGCGAAAAAACCACGGGGUCUCACAUUCUCCCCUCCUUAAGAACAUUCAUCCGCGAAUGGAUUCAAUAAAUUUAUUAGUUGUAUUCUUUGCUGCUACUGUGCUAUUUGCAAGGCUAUAUUUGAUACGUCCGCAAAUCUUAAAUCCAGUUUUUAAAAUCCACUUACAAGGCUUCGUAUAUCUAGCUCGCGACAAGUCAUAUAAACUGCAAUUUUGAGGUAUUUAAAAUCAAAUUAAGUUUGUGUACACGAAUAAUUGUCAAUUAUUAAAAUGCAACUCAGCUUAAGUUGUCAAUAGUUGGGGGUACUUCUUCCUUAUUUCCUCUUCGAAUUCUCAAGUUAUUUCCUCAACGUUAUUAUUUCGCCGUAACACUUUCACAGAAACCACUUCUUUAGUCCAAAUCUUUCUUACCUGCCAAUCCAACAUAGCCACUAACACCUCAGCAUAUGACGAGUCCUUAGAGAAACAAAUAUAUUCAACGGGCAUAAUCCAUGGAGCAUUUCCAAUGCACUUCUAUAACAUAGAUACAUGGAACACUAGAUGGACCACUUUCAAUUCUGAAGGCAUAUCAAGCUUGUAUGCCACACUGCCAAUCCUCCAAAUAAUCUUAUAUGGCCUUACAUACCUUGGAAUCAACUUAACUUGACUUCCUGUUCGUGAAGAAUCAUAUGAUACACUUCCUAGGCAAUACUUUCAAGAAAACACAAUCUUCUAUAUCAAACUCUAAGUCUCGUAAUCAAGCCAGGGAACUGAAAUCUAACAGUCUUCUCUCGGUCGUCGACAUUGGCAUAACAAGUCUUCCACCAAUCCAUGCACAUAUCAAUAACAGAGUCGAG
Molecule: long non-coding RNA, 928 nt
Filed under: Solanum tuberosum (potato)
Lineage: Eukaryota; Viridiplantae; Streptophyta; Magnoliopsida; Solanales; Solanaceae
Description: long non-coding RNA (STUB_LNC005596)
Source: RNAcentral